CAGACCGUGCUCGCGUCAUCCAAUCCUCCGACGAUGGAUUGUUUGUCGUUCGGCCAAUUCCUCGACCACCUCCACUCCUAGGAGCGGGGGCUCGUGGUAAAAGAACCCACGGCGCGAGAGGCGUCAAGGAACACUGUGCCUAACCCGGGGAGAUGGCUAGCUUGCUGGUCGUCACCUGUGUUGCAAAUAUAUUUAAUCCACACGACUCUCGGCAACGGAUAUCUCGGCUCUCGCAUCGAUGAAGAACGUAGCGAAAUGCGAUACCUGGUGUGAAUUGCAGAAUCCCGCGAACCAUCGAGUCUUUGAACGCAAGUUGCGCCCGAGGCCACUCGGCCGAGGGCACGCCUGCCUGGGCGUCACGCCAAAACACGCUCCCAACCACCCUCUUCGGGAAUUGGGAUGCGGCAUAUGGUCCCUCGUCUGCAAGGGGCGGUGGGCCGAAGAUCGGGCUGCCGGCGUACCGCGUCGGACACAGCGCAUGGUGGGCGUCCUUGCUUUAUCAAUGCAGUGCAUCCGACGCGUAGACGGCAUCAUGGCCUCGAAACGACCCAUCGAACGAAGUGCACGUCGCUUCGACCGCGACCCCAGGUCAGGCGGGACUACCCGCUGAG
This 611-nucleotide ribosomal RNA is filed under the name embryophyte environmental sample. Its description in RNAcentral is "eukaryotic LSU rRNA". The stretch from base 204 to 359 matches the Rfam family "5.8S ribosomal RNA". Lineage: Eukaryota; Viridiplantae; Streptophyta. The record is from RNAcentral.